RNAcentral lists this long non-coding RNA (44147 nucleotides) under Lathyrus oleraceus (garden pea). Its description in RNAcentral is "Pisum sativum (pea) long non-coding RNA (PSAT_LNC021528)". Lineage: Eukaryota; Viridiplantae; Streptophyta; Magnoliopsida; Fabales; Fabaceae. The record is from RNAcentral.
CUGGAUCUGCUAAAUCUUUAUUAGUGGGUACAUGAUCCACUCUAAUAGCUCCUUUAGAUAUAUAAUCUCUAACAGUAUUGUGAUUUCUUCUUAUUUUUCGUCUCUUACCAUAAUAAUAAUUGUUCUCAAAUUUUGCAAUAGCCGCGAUACUAUCGCAGUGGAUCAACACAACUGGAAUAGAUUUUAUCCACAAAGGGAUCUCAACUAUCAAACAUAUUAACUAACUUGCUUCUUUGAUUUCCAAAAUACAUUCCCUUCAACUAUACUGAAUAUAUAACCAUUAGUUGCUUUAGAAUCAUUAAUUAAGGUGUUUCAAUUUUGCAACAUUAUAUCAUUCAAGUACAUAAGAAAAUCUCUAAUAAUGUAGACUGAUAUUCAUGUCCUUUUAAGGUAAUACAUGACUUUCUCAAUAGCUUGUCAAUUCUCAUUACUCAUUUUACUAAAUAAACCAGCACAAUAAUCAUACUACAUAUGUAAUGUCGGGUUUAGUACAAUUAAUGACAUACCUAUGACUACCAAUGAUGCCCGCAUACUCUUUUGUCCAAGUCUAUCACCAGUGUUCUUAGACAAUUUUACACUUUGAUCGUACGAUAUGCAAGUAGGUAUACAUCCAGAGUAGUUAUUUUUAUUUAAGAUCUUCUCCAUAUAGUGAGAAUAAUCCAAAGAAAUUCCUCGUCCAUAUCAAGUGAUCUUGAUACCAAGAAUCGCACUGACUUCUUUGAGGCAUUUCAUAUUAAUUUUUUUGCACAUCAAUAACGGCAUGAAGAUUUGAUCAAAAUUUGAGUAAUUCGUCUACAUAGAGACAUAUGAUAGUGCAAAUGUUAUUUUCAAACUUGUAAUAAACACAUUUGUCACUUUCAUUCACUUUGUAUCCAUUAGAUAUCAUUAAGUUGUCAAAUGUUUCAUGUCAUUGCUUUGGAGCUUGUUUUAGCUCAUACAGAAACUUAUCUAACUUACACACCUUAUUUUCUUACCCAUGAAUCACAAACCCUUCUGGUUGAUCCAUAUAUAACUAUUCUUCAAGUCAUUGUUUAAGAAAGCUAUUUUAACAUCAAUUUGGUGUACUAUUAAGUUAUAAAUAACAACAAUUGAAAUCAGUACCCUAAUGGAUGUAAUUCUAGUGAUUGGAGAAAAAGUAUCAAAGAAAUUUAUAUUCUCUCUUUGCCUAAAACCUUUGGCUACAGACCAACCUUGUACUUAUCAACUAUUCCAUCAGGUUUUAGUUUCUUUUUCAAAACUCAUUUACAACUGAUUGGUUUGAAACCGAGAGGCAGUUCUACUAAGUUUUGGGUUCUGUUAGAUUAUAGAGAAUCUACCUCACCAUUAAUAACUUCUUUCCACAAAUCUGCAUUUAGAGAUGACAUGGCUUCUUGAAUAUUUGUUGGAUCUUCUUCUAUUGUAUAGACUGCAUAAUCAGGCUCAUAAUCUUUAGAAACUCUUACUCUUUUACUCUAUUAAAGUUUUGUUUCUACUUCAUCAUGGCUUUUGAUGCUUCUUAUUAUAGGAAUGUGAUUCAAUUCAAUACCCUCACUAUUUCUCGAUUUGAAAGGAAAAUUUUCUUCAUAGAAUUCAACAUCAUUUGAUUCCAUUAUCACUUUAACAUUUAGGUCACAACACCUAUAUGCCUUACUAUUUGCUGCAUACACAUUGAAUCCACAUUCAUAGACUCUACUAGCGAGUUUAACUCAUAUCGAAUCCGAAAUUCUGACGUAAGUCAGACAAGCCCAAGUUCUAAAGUAAAACUAGUUUGGUUGUAUCUUCUUUAAUAUCUCAUAAGGUUAGAUCUUACUUUUAGACUUGGAAACUCUAUUUAGGACCUAUCAAACAAUCAAUAAAAUUUCCUCUAUUAGUGCGAUGCAACACUAGAAUUCAACAUAAUAGCAACGACUAGUUCAGUAAGAUUUCUAUUCUUUCUCUCUGUUUUACCAUUCAUUUCAGGAGAAUAUGGUGCAGUCACUUCAUGUAAAAUUCCUUGUUUUUUUAUAAAAUUCAUUGAAAUAAAAUGGAUUUUUAUUCAAUUCCCUAUCAUUACAAAAACUUUUUAAUUUUCUUACUAAGUUGAUUUUCAAUUUCAUUCACAAAAGCAUUAAACAUAUCAAUCACUUCACUUUCAUUCUUACAUAAUUGAUUUUCAAUAUCAUUCAUAAAAAGCUUUAAAAUAUCAAUUUUACAAAAAUAUUAUUCUUAGUGAUGGUGUACAAAUCUACCUCAAUAGCUAAUAAAACCUUGCCUUAUUCAGAAGAAACCAAUAAACAAGAAUAUUUCUAAUCUGGUAAGUAUGCAUGAAAUCCUUCAAUAUUUAAGUCUUUUUGGAGAUGGACUUCAACUCCAUUUCUCCAGUUUCAAAAACAUUAAUGGUGUGGGCAACUCCCAACAACACUUGCUUAUUUUCAGUAUUUGUGUAUGCGUCAAACAUUGCAUGAUCAUAACAAACAUGUGGACAUGAGUCAAUGUAUAUCUACCAACCAUGUUGAUUUUAGUGAUCAUAGCAAUAAAUUUCUCAACAGUCAGGUUAAUCUAUGCAUUUGGAGAAGAACUAAGUUUAGGCUUGUUGUUACAUUUCUUAUCUACGUGACUUGGUUUUCCAUAAUUAAAGCAAUAAAAAACAACAAUUUCAUUUCUCUAUGGUGGUAGUUGUUGCAUAGAAAUUGGAGUAAUUGGGGUCUUGAAGGGUUCCCAUUCUUAAUUAGGUUCACAACAUUGUGGUUCUGUUUCUUUAAUGGUUUUCCAAAUGGCUUCAAAACCGCAACAGACUUCUUUUUUGUUGUUUCAAACAACUAAGACUUUUUCUUUUUAAUCUUGUCCCUGAUAUUCUUAUUCAAUUCAAGGGCGAAUAAUCAAACUCUCAAUUGAAAAUUAUUUGGUUUUGAGGCGAAAAAAUACUUUAAAAAUCUACCAACUAAGGGGAAGUUUGUCAAUAAUAACAAUAAUUUAAAAUUGUUCAUAUAAAUGCAUACCUUCAGUGAUGAUAUUGUGAACAAUCUUUUGAAGUUUGUGAUAUUAAGCUUCUGUGAAUCUUUCAUCUACCAUCUGAUACCUUAGGCUGCGGCUAACAACAUACUUCUUUGCUCCAACUUCUUAAGUAUCAUACUUCUUUUUCAUAGCCUUCUCAACCUGUUUUGUGGUAUCUCGGUUAUGUGAUAAUCAUACAGAUCGUCUAUGAGUCUAUUCAGAAAGUGGUUUUUCCAGAGAUAGCCAUUCUCUUUCCAUGGGGUGAUUUCUUUCCUGAGAUGUAAAUUGUUUGAUUUAAUCUAUGCAUUAGAUUCAACUUCACCAAAGUUAAGUGUUCCAUAUGAAUCCACAGAUUUCUUAUUGUUAGUUUGCUCGGUUGACUUAGAAGGAACAACGAGAAUGCCAUUGGUCAGAACAUUGGCAACCUUUUUCAACAUUAAGAAUAACUUCAUCUUUUGUUGCCACCAUUUGAAUUGACUUUACUCAAACUUGAACGGUUUGUCAGAGAUUGCAUUCGUAGAAGGACUAAUAAUUUAUUCGGUAGCCAUGGAAAUUUGAAACAUCUUAAAAAAUUUAUUUUACAGUUUUGAAAAAACUUUCCCAUGAAAAUAUUAUCAGUUCGAGUCUCAUACUAGGUUUCUUUCUUUAAGAUGAUUCGUGACACUACUCAAAGUUGUGUAAAACAAUCACUCAACCAUGGUGCCUCCAAGAUAAAACAAACCAAUUCUAUAUUUGUAUUAUUACUACUUACACAGUAGAUAGUCAUUCUAGAAAUACACCCUUAGAUGGUACAAAUACCAGUCGAAUAUGGUAUAAUUACCACUUGUGGUAUAUGGUAUAAUGACCAGUUAUUAUAUGAACUUAUAUUCUCCAGAUGGAAAGAUGUCAGACACAGGCACAAUGUGUAUGAAAAGAUAAUUACAUAGUAGACAUAAUAAAUGAAAAAUAUAUAUAACAUAAGAAUUGGUAACCCAGUUCGGUGAAAAUCACCUACGUCUGGAGGGAGUUAACCCAAUGAAAGGAAAUUCACUCUUAAUAGUCCUAGGAGCUAGAUUUGUUGGAAGCUCCGGAAAUGGUUGAAGAAUUUGACAUCUCCAUGAUGAGGUAUUACCCUGAUUAAAAUGGUGAUUACUUCUACUUGGAGAAAUCCAAGAGGAGAGUGUAUGAAGAUAGGUUUGUGAAAGCUAAGAAGAAGAAUAUGGUAUAAAUACCAGUCGAAUAUGGUAUAAUUACUGUAGCGGUAAAUUCAUGACCAUCAAGCUAUGGAUAAGCUUAACGUCAAUAAAACCAGAAUCGCCAUCACGCUUUUAUUGUUUCCAAAGGAAAAGAGAAAAGUACGAACAAAACCCAAAGUAAAUGACUCAAAUGAGCAAAGUGAAAAUGACAUAAACAUAAACAAAUUAAAUGAAAUGUAAAUGGAAAAUGAAUGAUAAAUGACUGAAAUUUAAAUUGCAUAAAGUAAAUGACUUGAAAGUAAAGCAAUAUUAACAAGAGUUAUUCAAAUGUUAGUUAAAGGUUAAUGGUGUUUUGCUUUUUAAUUAAUUAAGUCAUUCUUUGGAGAACACUCAAUCCUUCAUUCACAAGUGUGGAUCCUUGAACCAAUACAUCUUCCAUGAGAAGGGCUCCAACUUGGAUCAUUCACAAGUAUGUCACUAGCUCCCAUGAAAGGAAAAAAGGUCAAGUCUCCAAACAAUGCCAUGAAGAAGGGGAGACUUACAAUCUCACUUACUAGAAUGAUAUUCCUUGAGGGUCAAAUUUAACACUAUGUUAAGCAAUCGUAAUUGGACUUAUGUAGAAGUCACAACUAUCUGAGGUCGGGCAAUAAUAAUUUAGGUGUUAAUGCAUGUUAGAGAUUUGGUAUAAUGAAUCAAACUCCUAAAACAUACCACACACUAAAAUAAAAGAUCAAGAGGGAUGUACCUAUCUCAUCCAUACUUGUAUUGGUUCAUCUGACACAAGGUCAUUGACGAACCAAUUAGCCUUAGGAUAUUUGAGAUUUCCUUGGUCAAUGAAAGGAAUGAGAGAGACUAGGGAUGAAGAUGAAAGGGGAGGGGAGUGAGAGAAACACAAAUUGGUCAUGGGAGGAAUUUUAUCAAAUUAAAAUCAUUCAUUCAUUUUGGGAGAAGAAAUGUACAUUUCAUCAAUCCCCUAAAUCCAAUGAUUUUAAUCCAAUAAAAGUCAAAUCAACCUUGACCAAGACCCAAACAAAUAGUAAAACAUCACAAGACCAUAAAAAUGGCUAAACAUAAUUUUUACACAUUUUAUCAAUAAAAAAUCAAGUUAAAAAUGCAUUAAAAUAUAAUUUAAUUUGGUAAAAACCUAAAAUCUCUUCAAAACACCAAAUAAAUGGCCAAGAGAUUUAUCCUAGGUCAAACAAGGUCAAAAGACCUUAGACAAAAAUUUUCAUGAUUUUUGAAAAGUCAGAGGUAUUUUUAAACAAUUAAAAAUAUGUACAAAAACAUUUAAUUCAUAAAAAAUAUCAAAAUUAAUCCAAAAAAAUAAUUUUAACUCAGAAAAUGAAAGAAAAAAAUAUUUAAAGAUUUUUGGUGAAAGUCCCAUAUUUUUUGGACUAAAAAUGAAAUUAAUAUGAAUUAAACAAAAUAAAAGGAUUAAACAUAAAAUCAAAAAAUCAAAAAAACAAGGGCCAUCAGAUCUCCCUCAUUAAUUGAGGUGGAAGAUCUGAUGGCCAAAAGCGUGUAUUCCACCAACAUUUGAGUCAAACGCGUGACACGGUUGGUAAUCAAAAUAGAAGGCUAAGAUUAAAACGUAAGAUCAGGAUCUAAUGGCUUUGGACACACCAACUCAUCACCGGAGCCCUAGCUCUGGUCUUCUUCUCCGGUGGACCUCACCGGACUGGUCCACCACCAACCACCAUGGAAAUUAAAAACAAGGACAUAGAUUUGAAGAAAAAAUGCCCAGGAGCUCGAAUCUGGCCUUAAUUUCUCCAAUUCCAAGUAUAUCAAGAGAUACAGGGAUUUGAAUUUUGAGGAUUAUGAACCGAGUUGCUUCGAUUUGACCUCAAAGAAACUCAAUUUUGUUGCCUACAUUGGUAGGACUUCAGCCAACCAAAAAUCACAAAGAAUAGUGAAGAAUUGAGAGAGAAUCGAAGAGAUGAAAAUUCUGAAAAAUUACCUUCAAAUGAGCUUCAACCUUGCUUGAUCUUGCUUCCAACUGUCCUUGGCUUGGCUUCAGAAGCUUGUAGGAGAGGAAUAGAGGCAAGGAAAAGCUUGGACUCUUAGAGUUUCAAUCUCAAGAAAAAAUGAGAUUUGAAGCUCGAUUUUCAAAUGAAAACCUUCAAGAUUAUCCUUUAAUGGUGAGGGUUUGGAUUGCAGAUUCAAAGCUUGGGCAUGAGGUCCUCAAUUCUGAGCCAUGAGGGUUGUAUUUAUAACCAAUCCAUUUGAUUUUCACACACUUCCAAAAUUUGCCAAAUUUAGCAAUUUUAAUUGCAUGCUUGCAUGGGCGUGUGAUAGGCCCAUCAAGUGAUGUAUUCAUGUCCAAAAUUGCUUGUGUAGCAUGCUGAAAUCAUGUCAUGUAGCCAUGCAUUUGAAUUUGAAAUGUGAAGGUGAAAUCCAUCCAAAUGAUCCUUUGAAAAGAACCCAUGCGCAAGUCCUCCAUUCUUUGGCCAAAUGAGUUGAUCUUGGACUUUUUGGAAAGGUGGGAUCAAGGGGAACAACUUUUAUAUUGAACACAUUUCCAUUUGAAGCUUGGACCAUGAUUAAUUUUGAGGUGGAAUUUUGAAGAAUCAAACAUAUUUGAAAAUUUUCUAAGUACCAAGUCAAAUGUUCACUUCUUCCACCUUGAAUAACUUUUGCUAUGGACUUUAAAUGGAAACAGUUUCAUCAUCAAAGUUGUAUCUAUUUCAAACCUAUUAAAUUUGGUCACAAAUUUGAUCUCAUUUGGAUUUGACAUGAAGGAGUUAUGCAUUUUUAGAAGUUGAGGAAAAUCACUUGUUCAAUGGUAAUGGCCCAAAAUGACCUAUAAUGUUUCCUCUUGGAACAUGCAUUUGCAAGUUGAAUUUUAACUUCUUCCAAACAUAAAAGUUGAAAACGACAUCUUUAAUGUUAUCAUGAAACUUGAAUGGCUUUCAUAUCAUACAAAUUGAGCAAGUUAUUUACUCUGGUUGUUACCAGUAAAACGCUUAUGAAGAAGGCACCUCUGAUACAUUAUGUAUCUCCCUAACCAUAUCAAGUCCUCUAAUCUUGAUAGGUUAUGAACUCUGAAUCUGUUAUCACGUUUUACCAACACUUUUUUGGAAUAUUUUUAUGGAAGAAGAGUUAUUAUGCACUGCGCUAAUCAAAUAUCAAAUCAAGAAAGUAAUGCUUCAAACGGAUAGAAAAAGAUUUUUUAGCAACUCAAUAUUUAUGUUGUACCUACAUCCACUACAACAACAAUGUUUCUCGAAGAAAGCUCUAAUCCUUAUCUAUCCAACAACAAUAUACAGACACUUAGAGUGGUCUUAGAUUAAUGGGUAGACAUAAGAUGUGUUCUUAACUCAUAAACACACUAAGAAACACACUUCAAAGAUCUGGAGCUACACUAAGCAGAGACAUCAAUAGUGUUCUCAUACAUCAAAGGUUUAGCUACAAAAGCACAUAAAAGAAGAACAUUUGUGCAAAAGUAAGAAAGAAAAAGAAGUGAAGCACUUAGAAUCCUAACAUUUCAUAUCUAGCUUAAGUGUACAUUCUGAUUGUAAAUUUGUGUAAUCUACUUAACUAAGAAACACACAUAUAACUACAAAACUAUUAUAACCCAAUCUGGUUAUGUUCCUCAAGCAAUCAUGUCGGUUAGGCUCUUGAGAAGUCAGUGACACGUAGUCAUUGAGGGAGAAAUAUUCUUAAGUGAGCAGGUAGAUCGGGUCUUAAUGAGUCAUUGACCUUUAGGGUUUCUGAAACGUCGGGUAGGCCGGGCUCUUGAGGUAAUCAACGACUGGUUGUCAUUGCUUUGUAAUCAUGAUUUGAUUUUUGGAUUAAGUCAUUGUCUAAGGCAAAUAACAUGAUGGAUGGACUGGAGGUAGCCCAGUUAAUGGUGAACCAAGACAAAAAUACUUGUAUGCAUAUGCUUAUUUUUAUCAUUGCUACCUAACAGAUUGGGUGGAAAAAAGUUUUCAAACUUUAAACCUAAUUCAAACCCCCAUUUCUUGUGUUUCUUGCACCUUCAUUUGGUAUCAGAGCACUGAUCGGUGCAUUUUGAUGCACCUUCUUCUACUAUUGUACUUAGACAACUCUAUAGUUUAUUCUAUUAUUUUUACUAUUUUAGUGUAUUUUUAUAUUUAAGUUUAUUUUUAGUUUUAUUUUAUUUUCGUACUUUAUUUUUAGCAUAAAUAGUUAUUUCAUAUCUUGUUACUAUGCAAAUCAUAACUUGAACUACGAGGAUCGGAUUGAUGCGUUCUAAUAUGUGUUGGAAAGCUGAGAGGAUAAGCUAAAAGUUUCAUGUUGAAGUCAAAAGCUGAUUCUAAGUGAAGGAGGGUCGAAUAAUUCGUUGAAGUUCCAGACUUAAUUAAAAUAGUUAGUUUGGGUCAGUUUUUGUAAUUUUCGGGUCGGAUUCUAUAAGAGCCCGAAUUUCCCUUUUAUUAUAUUAGGUAUUUCACUACUAUAGAAAUCCUAAUUCUGAAUUUUGAUGAUAAAAUAUUGCUUAGAAGAUUUCAUGGAGAGCUAAUUCCCAAAGAGUUGAUCUGUUGUAUUCGAAUUCCACUUUGAGGUUUUUAUUAAUUUCAGUUUAAUUUCAAUUUCUUUUCAAUUCUUCCUAUAAACUCGUUUGCUUAAUUCGAUUACUUUCGUUUGCUUAAAAGGUUUUUAUUAAUUUCAGUUUAAUUUCAAUUUCUUUUCAAUUCUUCCUAUAAACUCGUUUGCUUAAUUCGAUUACUUUCGUUUGCUUAAUUCGAUUGUUUCUUAUAGGAUAGAGUUGAUUAAAUUUUAUAUUUGUAUGAUCCUUAACUAUAAUCACGUUAGCGUAACUUUUUCGUUAUCGUGUUUGAUUAAGUCGUGUUUGCUUAAUUCGCGUAUGCUUAAAUCUGUUUGCUUAAUUCGGAAAUUAGGAACAUACAUCAUAUAAUACCAAUUUGCGCUUUUCAGUGGCUAUUGUAAUCGAAUGGGAUUGAAUCCGCUAGGGAAUUGAAAUUUUAAGAAUCGAUGAUAAGUCGGAAAUCGAUACAAUAAAUUAGCUUAUUUAUCAAUUUUGCUUUUACCUUUAAUCAUCUUUGAUUUAAGUUUUGAACCUUAAAAAAAAUCCUUCUUUUCAUUUGUUUUCAUACUUGAUUAAUUUGCCAAGAGUCCUUGUGAUACGAUACUCGAGGUGUCGCUUUCCGUUUACUAUAUAUUAUUACUCAUUUUUGACCCGUCUGCGACAAUGAAUCAAAUUGGCGCCGUUGCCAGGGAUCUUGUAGAUCUUAACCAUUAUUAUAGUCUAAUCAUUAUUAUAGUUUUAGGUAUUGUAUUUUAGCAUUUUUUGCCCUAACUUUCUUGCGUUCGGGUCUUUUUGGGUUUUAGGAUAAAAAAAUCUGUUUUUUUAAAAAAAUUGUCUCAAAUUUUUCCGGUUCUUUGUCGAUUAACUAGGAAAAAAUCAAGGAUCAAAAGCCUCAAUUUAGGAACUAAAUAGUGGAAGUCAUCCUAAAAACCCGAAAUUCCUUAUUUUUCUAUUUUUUAUGAUUUAUUUUCUAUUUUGAUAGUUUUAGAAAAUUCCGAAAAAAAUUUCAAAAUUUUUAAUUGACGUUAUUAGAUUGGUUUUCGUGUUUUUGUAUUUUAUUUUAAUCGUUUUUUUCGUAUUUCAAUUAUUUUUACUUAAUAGGGACAUUGUCGGUAUUUUUCUAUUUGUUGCUGCAUUGCUGAAUUAGUUGUGUUUUCUCAUUGUUUGUUGAUUUUUUUCUUUUCUAUUGAGUUUAACAUGGCUGACCAAAGAACCCUGAGAGAACUUGUUGCCCCUGAUGUUGAUUAUAUAUUUGUUGCUGCAUUGCUGAAUUAGUUGUGUUUUCUCAUUGUUUGUUGAUUUUUUUCUUUUCUAUUGAGUUUAACAUGGCUGACCAAAGAACCCUGAGAGAACUUGUUGCCCCUGAUGUUGAUUAUAAUGCUUUAUGUAUUGAAUAUCCUGUUGCUGCCAAAUCCUUGAUUGAGAACAUGUCACUUAACUCCCAACAGUUCACAACAAGGGAUAAUUUUAUUGUUCAAGAAAAAGGUAUGAAUGAGAUUCAUGUUUCUUCUUCCAACAAGGCUCUAGAAACCAGAAUUGAUGAACUUACCUCUUUAGUGAAACAAUUGAUGUUACACAUUUCACCACCGCCACCAUAUAACCCUCCACAAGUAACCACCUUUUCACAUUCUGAACCUUCACUAGAGGAACUUGUCAAGCAAAUGAUUAUAAACAGUCUCCAAUUUCAGCAGCGAAUAGAUUAUAGUAUUCAGGCUUUGCAAACACAAAUUGGACAACUUGUCACUUUAUUGAGUGUUAUGCAACAAGCUCAAGGAUCAAAUCAACUACAUGCCCAAACAGUAGCUAAUCCAAAAGUCUCUAAUGUGAGUGUAAUUUCCUUGAGAUCCGAAAAAGUUACAGAACCAACCCUAGAAAAAAAUAAAAAAAUUGUUAGUGUAACACCUGAUAAUAAACCUGAACCUUCUAUUGUUGUUGAGGUUGAAAAAAAGUAUGUAUCAUCAAUCUCUUUCCCACAAAGAGUAUUGAAAAAUAAGAAGAUUGACGAGGAAGGUCAUUCUGUUUUUCAAAUAGAGUUGCUUUCUGAAGUUGUUGAUGAAGCUUGUUCUGAUUUGCUUUCAGCUGAUUUUCCAACUUUAUCUAGUUUUGAUGAUAUUUACUCAUGUGAUUAUUGUACUAACACUAACCUUUGUGUUAUUUGUGCUGAGAUUGACGCUGCCUUGCAGGGUGAUAGUGUAAACGAAGUUGUUUAUGUAGUUGACGCUUUUGACAUCCCAGCUGCCCCAAAAAUAUCAUCCAUUGAACAACCACAUUCUGUAGAGCCUAAACAACUUUCUGAGGAUUCAUAUUAUUCAUCAAAGCUUCAACUUAAGCAGAAACAUAAGAAGGGAAUUGAAUGGACCUUGGCCGAUACUUGUGAUAUUAGCCCAUCCAUAUAUAUGCAUAGGAUCUCACUUAAAGAUGUAAUAAAAGUAGUGAGGCAGCCCCGUAAUCCUUUGAUUCUUGAUGUUGUGAAAAAGGAGAUCACUUUCAUGUUCUCAUUCAACACUUUUACUUAUCAAAGAUUCUUCUUUGAUCUUGGAAUACAAGACAAAUGCACUAAUCAAAAUUUUAAGGUCAAUGAACACUACCCAAAGCGACUCCAUGAGAAUCCGACUUUGGAAGAAGAGACUGUAGAAGAGCUCUCUUUGGGAAAGGCUGCUUAUGCAAUCAUUUAUCCGCCUUGACUCAUCGGGUGCGUUCUUUCCUCUCUCUCUCACUCUUAUUUUAUAUUUAUUCUCUUUUAUUGAGGACAAUGUAUGUUUUAAGAGUGAGGGAGAGAACCAUUUAUUUAUUUUGUUUUCAGUUUUUCUCUGUUUUGGUUUUUGUUUGCUUUCUUAAAAAAAAUUGCAUGUUUUUUCCUUUGGUUUUUGAGUUAUAAUUAUGAGUAUUUUUCUUAGUUCUCUUGACUAAAGUCUUGUGGUGUGAUGUGAACAAUUUGUUGUGCAUUUUUAGUAUGAUAGGUAGGACUAAACUCUAAAUUGUACAUCAUUUGUGGUAGAUCAAUUAACCUUGUGAGAUUUUGAGCCUUAUAUGGAUAACAUACAAAAAUCCAUCUCUUUCUUAGAUAGGUAGGACUAAACUCUAAAUUGUACAUCAUUUGUGGUAGAUCAAUUAACCUUGUGAGAUUUUGAGCCUUAUAUGGAUAACAUACAAAAAUCCAUCUCUUUCUUUCUUGUGUGAUUCACUCAUGGCUGUUAGUCUCGAGAACUUGAUUUGACUCUUGCUGAUGUUGUUGUUUACUUGUGCACACUGAUAUGAUAAAGACAAUUUUUUUAGCCAGUUAGUCAAAAAGCCAACCCUAAAAUAAUAUCAUCCCUUGUUUGAAACCCCAUUUAGCCUAUUAUCCUUUUUUUUGUUUAAAACUCAUUACAAACCGAGAAGUGAAAAACAAUGUUAUCACCCUAUUCAAAGGGUUGGAAGAGUCUGGUUUGGAGUUGUGUGCAGUUGAAUAAGUAUGUUUGUAAUAUUUCAGAAAUUGGCAGAAAAAGAAAAGAAAAAAAGAAAAAAAAAAUAGAAGGAUGUAUACAUGUCAAUAGAUACUCCUUAUGAAAAAGAAAUAAAAAAGAAGAAGAAAAAAGAGAAAGGAGAAAAAAAUAUGAAUGAAAACAGUUAAUAUAGAGUUGUUGAAGUGAAUGAAAUAUUUUGUAAAUUCAACUCCCGCAGUUUCUUUCAAGUCUCUUUUGUCUCUUUGAAUUUUAGCCUAGUAUCCCUUAGGAUUUAUCUCACCCUUACCUUGGCCACAUUACAACCAAAUAAAAGUCUUUUUGAUCUUUAUGUGCAUGUAUUUCAAUUGUGGAUGUUAGAGUCUUUUCAAGCUUAUGGUAGUACUAAUUUUCAUGUUGUGCUUUGAGUGUAAACAGUUAAUCUAAACACUUGAGAGUUGAGUGAAUUAUAUCCUGUGAUUCAAUUGUGGAUGUUAGAGUCUUUUCAAGCUUAUGGUAGUACUAAUUUUCAUGUUGUGCUUUGAGUGUAAACAGUUAAUCUAAACACUUGAGAGUUGAGUGAAUUAUAUCCUGUGAGGAUCUUACUACGAUUGAUGUACUCUUUGGUAACUUGUUUUCCUAUCUGCUUUGGAUGUCAUAAAAAGUUGCUUACUAAUACCAUAUUCUUAAAGCUUAGACUUAGAAUUUUGCUUGCACCUUGUAUCUUGACAACCUAUGGAAUUGCAUGUUUUGUUUGUUCUCAUUUUUCUAUUUUGAAUUUAUAAUUUUGCUCGGAGUGCAAAAGUUCAACUGUGGGGAAAUUUGAUCGGUGCAUUUUAAUGCACCUUCUUCUGCUAUUGUACUUAUAUAAAUCUAUAGUUUAUUCUAUUAUUUUUACUAUUUUAGUGUAUUUUUAUAUUUAAGUUUAUUUUUGCUUUUAUUUUAUUUUCGUACUUUAUUUUUAGCAUAAAUAAUUAUUUCAUACCUUGUUACUAUGCAGAUCAUAACUUGAGCUACGAGGAUCGGAUUGAUGCGUUCUAAUAUGAGUUGGAAAGCUGAGAGGAUAAGCUAAACGUUUCAUGUUGAAGUCAAAAGCUGAUUCUAAGUGAAGGAGGGUCGAAUAAUUCGUUUAAGUUCCAGACUUAAUUAAAAUAGUUAGUUUGGGCCAGUUUUUGUAAUUUUCGGGUCGGAUCCUAUAAGAGCCCGAAUUUACCUUUUAUUAUAUUAGGUCUUUCACUACUAUAGAAAUCCUAAUUCUGAAUUUUGAUGAUAAAAUAUUGCUUAGAAGAUUUCAUGGAGAGUUAAUUCCCAAAGAGUUGAUCUGUUGUAUUCGAAUUCCACUUUGAGGUUUUUAUUAAUUUCAGUUUAAUUUCAAUUUCUUUUCAGUUCUUCCUAUAAACUCGUUUGCUUAAUUCGAUUACUUUCGUUUGCUUAAUUUGAUUGUUUCUUAUAGGAUAAAGUUGAUUAAAUUUUAUUGUUUGUAUGAUCCUUAACUAUAAUCACGUUAGCGUAGCUUUUUCGUUAUCGUGUUUGAUUAAGUCGCGUUUGCUUAAUUCGGGUCUGCUUAAAUCCGUUUGCUUAAUUCGGAAAUUAGGAACAUACAUCAUAUAAUACCAAUUUGCGCUUGUCAAUGGGUAUUGUAAUCAAAUGGAAUUGAAUCUGCUAGGGAAUUGAAAUUAUAAGAAUCGAUGAUUAGUCGGAAAUCGAUACAAUAAAUUAGCUUAUUUAUCAAUUUUGCUUUUACCUUUAAUCAUCUUCGAUUUAAGUUUUGAACCUUAAAAAAAACACUUAUUUUCAUUUGUUUUCAUACUUGAUUAAUUUGCCAAGAGUCCUUGUGAUACGAUACUCGAGGUGUCGCUUUCCGUUUACUAUAUAUUAUUACUCGUUUUUGACCCGUGUGCGACAACAGAUCAAGCAUCGAUUAUGUUAUUAACUCAUUAUGUCAAACCCUUAACUGUGUUAGAAAAAGAUCUACGGUCUUGAGAAAAUACAAAAGGUUAAUGCUUACAACAAUACUUAUUAUCAUUUUCAUUCCUCUAAGGUUUCAUGGAGAUAAAUUUGAUUACUGACAAGACUGGAUAAAAUGUUUCCUUCUUGGUCAAAAAUGAAAAUCUAUGGGAUAUGACUCUAAUUGGCUUCACAUAUUCUUUGUAUGCUAAUGGUGUAAGACUUUAAAAAAGUCAAAUAAGUAAGCAUUAAAUAAAGGAUCACAAAGUCCUCAUGAAUCCAUACAUAUUGUGCUUCUUACUAUUUCUUAUGUUAAUAUGAGAAGAUUUUAAAUAAAGACUCAACUAAGUCUAUAUUUGUUUCUUUGAAAAGGGACUCAUAAAGUGAAUAAGGAAAUAGAAGAAGUGUAAAACUUUGGACUCAACUCAAAGGACAGGGCUUCAUUGAAAGAAUUAUUUUUAAUUUCAAUGAUCCUACUGGAAAGGGAAAAGAGACAUUGGUUAUCAUAAACCAAAGUUUUUAUUGUCAUGCCUAAACCCAUAAAGAAAAUAAAGAAGUCAACAACAUUGUAGUUUCAUCUUACUUUUGGCUGCUCUCAUCUCUCUAGCAAAGAUGAGAUAUCAUUCACGAUGCCUGGUAUUGGAUGCUCUCUACAUGUAAAUGGAAUCUAAGAAGAGGUAUUAAUAAAAGAAGAGGGAGAUGCAAAGAAGAAAGGAUCUAAAGAUAAAUAUGGAAGUAAUUCGGCGAAUAAAGGUUCCUUCAAAGAAGAACAUGGUGUCCUAGCUCACAGAGUCGGCAUUAUCAAAUGAUCAGGAACAAAUUCUCAAUAAAAUUCAGUCUACAGUGAGAUUCUGAGAAAAGUCAAAGAUUCUGAAGAAAAAGAAAAUUCAACUUUGAUGAAUGUAAGAAAGUGAAUCGUCAGAACCUAUGAAGUUCAUCAUUUUCCAGAAGAGUCAAAAGAAUAGGUAAGCAAAGGUAGGUCUAUGUGUCUCGUUCUAAUUCCUCAUAUCUUGUAGUAUAUACCAAGUGUUGCACGCAUGACUCUAAUGUAAGACAAUUGACAUACGUUUAGCCAGCUGAACAAUUGAGGUGACCUAAUUGAUGUUAGUUUGUGUGUUUAGAGAAAAUCGUUUGUUUUGCCUCCCUUGUCAAAAUUAGUGUUUUAAAAUUAUUUUAAUUAUAAAAUUUCCUAUUUAAACAUAUGGCACACUCACUUCUCACACAAUACAUAACUCCUUUUCACAACUCACACUUUAAAGUUUUUUUUCCUCCAAUCUCUCUUUCCUUUCUCAAAACCUUAACCAUGGAUGACCAACAAUAUCAAUAAAAAGAGCUUCCACAACAACGGAAAAAUAAACAAUAUCAUCCAUCUCAAAAAGAAAUUACUAUGAUGGAAGACAUCUCUGAUAUCUCUUUAUCUACCCCAGUGGAUGAGUUGGAAGUUCUCUCUGAAACUAUUGUAGAUUUCGACAACCUAAAAAAAUGGGUUUGAUCUCUCUAUAGAUGUUGUAACCCAUGGAUGGGAAGUCUACUUCAACAAGUUGAAGGGGUCAGUUUAUCCGGCCUUGGUACAAGAUUUUUGGAUUCAUGUAGAAGCUACAGAAGUUCAGAUUUUCUCUAGUGUUUUGGAUCAAACUAUUCAAGUUUCUUAAAAUCCAUAACCAAGCUAAUGAAUCAUGAUGGGUCUGACAAAAGUCGUUAUCAAAUGUUUAAAAAUGAGGCAAAAAUGAAGGAAAUUGUAAAAACCAUCUUUCAGAAAGUAUCAGAUUCAGGUAUCAAGAAUCUUUAAUCCUCAUUAAGGAUUUUGGUCAAGAUUAUCUUGGGGUGCACUCAUCAUCAUCUUGCAAAUAACUCUGCCGACUACAUUAAUACUGACAAAAAAUACAUGUUGUAUUAUCUGGCCAAAGGUAUCAAGAUGAAUCUUCCUUCCAUCUUGUUUAAAUACUUAAGAGAGAUGGUCAAAGAAACAAGGAACGAUGUCAGUAAGCAAAGGAAAUGGAUUCCUUUAGGUGGGAUGAUAUAUGGCAUCCUAGUUGAAAGCAAACUGGAAGCCAGGCUAGAAGAAAUGCAAUUUCGUGAUGACCUCUACAUAGAUGUAGGAAAAUCCUUCAAUGGAAGAAAUCUUAAAAACAUGCUUAUGAUCAAAGAUGUUGUGAAACCUGAAGGAAUGGAUUGGGAAUAAGUCUCCUCUAGAAGGGUUGAAAUUGAUGGCUUUCGUUUAUUCAGUAAGCAGGAUCCUCCAGAGGUUCUAUGGGCUUACAUGAUGAGUUUCUAAGCAGAUGAUCUGAUCUAGGUGUGGACAUUUGUGACUUACCAGACUUUUACUGAAGUCCAUCAAAAGGUAGUUAUUGAAGCUAUAACACCCCAAGUUUAGUUUUCUAAUUUUAAUUGAAUUUAUAUUAGUUUAUUUCAUUUAAUUUAAUUAGAUAUUAGAAAUAUUAACAAAAAUUAGAGAUAUUUUAGAGUUGGGAGAGAAUAUAGUUUUAUUUAAAAUUAGAGAGAAAUAAGUGUUUUGAGUAAGGAGUUGAGGGUGUGGUGAGAUUUAGUGAGAAUAAUAGAAUUAUUAUUUUAAUUAAGAUAAUUUAGUUUAUUUGAGUAAUUAUAUAAUUAUUUAAUUAGAAUAUUGUUUGAGUCAGAAUAAAUUAUUUAUUUAAUAAUUUUAUUUAAUUAAAUGCAUAGUCAAAAUUAAAUAGAAAAUAGAGUUUUUAUUGAGGGUGUGAGAAGCGUUUAGUGGUGAAAUAAAUAAUUGAAACUUUUAGGUUAAAUAAAUAGAUAAGUUGGAUGUGAUUUUUUAGGGAAUAAGGUGAAUUUGUGGGAAAGAGCUAGCGGCAUAAAAAUCUAAGGAGAGCGAUCAUUUGGAAAGGGGCAGAAACAAAAUCUCAAAGCCAAGAUUUUCAUCGAUCGUCAAACUUUGAGGUAGGGGGAGAAACUCUUUACUUACAGGUGUUUAAUUGUUGUUGUGUUGUGUUUUGUUUUUCUAAGAUUGAUGGGAUUAUUUUCCCUCAUGUUUGAGUAUUGAACCAUUUAUUUGGAUUUAUUCAAUUAAACCUGUUUGAGAUUACCCGCUACGUAUUUUUGAAAAAGUUUUAAGAAACAUGUUGGGUUAAAGAGAUGUGUGACAACCUUAGUGCUUAAAUAUGUUUUAUUUUCAUGAUUUAUAUUAAAUAAGAGUCGUGGGGAUACAUGGUGUUACAUAGUGGUAUUAGAGCAUGUCGGUCCGUCCGACCAGGUUUUUGUAAUUUUAUCUGUUUCCUGGUGUACGAAAAGUGUGUGAACAUUAUCGAUACAAUGUUUCAUCUAAUAGUUGGUUGAUGUUGUAACAGAGAAAUCAAUGGAAAAAAUGAUCGCGUUAUCGCUUAUGCCUUGGUAGCUUUGGGUAAAGUUUUGCAAGCUUAGUAGAAUCCACAGGUUGAAAAUGCUAAAUCCUGUAGAGUGGACAGGUUUCUGAUAAAUAAGCCACCAACCUUCAAAGGAAUGUAUGGCCUAGAGGGCUUCCAAGUUUGGUUGUUGGAGAUCGAGAAAAUCUUUCGAGUGAUGGCUUGUACGAACGCUUAGAAGAUUAUUUAUGGUGCUUACAUGCUAUCUAAAGAAGCAUAAUACUUGUGGGAUAAUGCUAUACAGAUAUUUGAGGCUAAUGGUAUGAUGAUUACUUGGGUUGUUUUUCGAGGAGCAUUCUUGAAAAAAUAUUUCCUAGCUUAUGUGCGUAGCAAAAAGGAGAUUGAAUUCCUUGAACUUAAGCAAAGGAAUAUGACUGUUGCAGAUUGUGCUGCCAAGUUUGAGGGAUUGUCUAGGUUCUUCCCUCACUAUAAUGGGGUAGAAGUUUAAGUGUCCAAAUGCAUUAAGUUUGAGAAUGGACUUCACCCAAAGAUUAAGCAGUUUAUUGGAUAUUAGGUAACCCGACGGUUCUCCGUGCUGGUUAACAAGUGACGUAUCUAUGAUGAAGGUAGCCGUGCUAGAUCCUCUCAUUAAAAUAGUGUUAGUGAUAAGAGAAUUGGAAAUCAGUAUCAUUGAAACCUUAUGCGACUUCAGUUGCUAAGGAGGAUCAUAAGUCUCAGUAGAAAACCGCAAACGGGAAUGGAACAAGUGGGGGAUGUGCUCUUACUCCUAUUAAGUGUUUCAAGUGUGGGAGACUGAGGCAUCAUGCUAAUGAAUGCAAGAGUGCAGUUGUGACAUGUUUCAAUUAUGGAGAGUGAGGUCAUCUCCGUAUUCAGUGCCAUAAAUCGAAGCAAACUCAAUCAAUUGGAAACAUUUUUGCUUUGAUCUGAUGAUGGGAUUCAUGGUAUAUAUUUCAUAGUGAUAUCUCUUUUGUUGAAAUUACCAUUAAGGAUAACUUAAUGUGAGGGUUAGAAAACUAGUUGAGAGAGUCUUAGCUAGAGAUGUUUUAGUAAGAGAUUUUCGAGGUCGAAAAUCCUUUUAAGUGGGGGCGAGUUGUAACACCCCGGGUUUAGUUAUCUAAUUUUAAUUGAAUUUAUAUUAGUUUAUUUCAUUAAAUUUAGUUAGAUAUUAUAAAUAUUAAGAAAAUUAGAGAUAUUUUUAGAGUUGAGAGAAAAUAGAGUUUUAUUUAAAAUUAGAGAGAAAGAGGUGUUUUGAGUAAGGAUUUCAGGGUGUGGUGAGAUUUAGUGAGAAUUAUUAUUUUAAUUAAUAUAAUUGAGCUUAUUUGAAUAAUUAUAUAAUUAUAUAAUUAGAAUAUUAUUUGAGUCGGAAUAAACUAAUCAUUUUAGAAUUUUAUUUAAUUAAUUGAAUAAUAGAAAUUAAAAAAAAUAGAGUUUUCAGUGAGGGUGUCAGAAGAGUUUAGGGGUGAAAGAGAUAAUAGAGACUUUUAGGUUAAAUAAAUAGAUAAGUUGGAUGAGAUUUUUUCGGGAAGAACGUGAAUUUGUGGAAAAGAGCUAGUGGCAGAAAUAUCUAAAGAGAGUGGUCAUUUGGAAAGUGGCAAAAACAAUAUCCUAAAGCCAAGAUUUUUAUUGAUAGUCAAACUUUGAGGUAAGGAGGGAGAAACUCUUUACUUACGGGUGUUUAAUUGUUGUUGUGGCCAAAGAGGGUUUGGAUAAAAUCCUUUGGUCAUUGAUCGACAUGUUUCCCUUAUUUUCAUGAGAAGUCAUAAAACUGAAAGAUUAUUGCUAUUGAAUCCUAUUUGAUUUCCUUGUUUUAUAAUAAUCUCUAGUUGUACCCUUUCGUCAAAUUUUUUAAUAAUUGAAUUUUGGUAUAUGAAUUGUAUGUGGUUGAUUUGUGUUGGUUUUUGAGCGAAAUCCAUAAAAAGUCAUAAUUGAAAUUUAUGCAAAAGUGUGUUUCUAUUUUUCAAACGAAUAUGUGUAAUAAUAUGGUCGAGAUUUUAUUAGAAUGGCUUCUUCAAAUGCCAUACAGCCAACACAAUAACAUAUUAUUAUUUAUAUUAUGUUGUUUUUUAAUUAGUGUGAUAAUAAUAGUGGUUGAUAUUUUAAAAUAAAAGGAAAUGAAUUUUGUCAUACCCCAAAAUUUGUCCUUCCCUUUUCAUUUUUCAUCUAACAUGUGGCUUGAGAUUUAUCUGCACUCAUUCAUACCUCAUCCAUGUUAACAGUUGCUAAUAAUCAUCAUAGUUCAAAGUUUGUGGCUAACAAAAGCUAGGGCUUGCUUGUGGAUCAAGCCCUAGAGAUGUGAUAUGGCUCUCCAUAUGGAAUCAAUGGGGUUAAAACCCCAAUUCCUUGAUCUUUGGGGACCUUGGUUCAUGGAGAUCACAACCUAACAUUUAUCUGUGCAACAAAAACCUAAUUCUUGGCUUUGUUCCUCUGGAAUCUUGUGUUUGACCUCUUGAGCAUGGGUUGAAUCACUGAACCCUAAUUGUGGGCCCAUGUGUUAGGAUAUUGAGUGUGGAUCCUCAACUUAGUUUGAAGACCUUGAUUAGAGGAUGUGCAUCAUGAAACACUAAUCAGGGAUGCCUGAUAUUGUGUGCCAUUUUGAGUUGACUGUUGACCAUGGGAUUAACUAAAACUCUAGCUCAUUUGGAAGAGACUAUUGACCAUCUUGUCAUGCAUCAUCAACCAUUAAAGUUGCUAUUAUGCAUGAGAUUCAUUCAUCUAACCUUCAUGUCCACUUGUUUGGGAUUUCAUGUGGUUCAAGGUUUUGUUAUUACAUUCAUCCAUAUGGUGUUUUCAAAAUCUUUGGUCCUCGAUUCAUGGUCAUUGUUUCCAUCUAUAUUGUGUUAUCAAGAUCAUCAGGCCUUGGUCAUUAAUUCUUGGAUUCACACUUGCAUUAGUGCAUUGGUCUUUUGGUCCUUGGUUUGUCUUUGAUCCAUUAAGAUACUUAAGGAAUUAUAGACCAUUCACUCCUGAUUCGUCUAUGUACAUUGGUCUUUUUGAUCAAUUGCAUUCAUUUUGCUAUGGAAGUUUUGCACAAGUGAUGAAAGGCAUGUUUUAUUUAAAUUAAAGUCAUAUUCAUUCAAGCUCCUCUCUUACAUUACAAGUCACCAUAUACAUUUCUAUAAAGUCUAUUUUACAUCAGAAAAUCCUAAUUUCUAACCUACAGUUAACUUUGAUCAAUUGUUGACUUUUUCAUCAACCAUCCAUCCCUAGGCCCUCAUCAGAAUCUUCAAGCUCUCACUUGGUCUAAUCCAUAUCAUGUUAAAUAAACCUAAACCUAACAUAGUCCAAAACCAUUCAUUCACAAUUAACAUACCACAUCCAAUACAAUUCAAACAAUUCACAUUUCAACUUGUAAUUCAAUACACUUUCCAUACAAAACUCAAUUCUAUAAACCAUUCAAUUCAAUUCCAUGGCCUUUCAAUACAUUCCCAUACAACCAAUACAUUCAAACUUGCCAUUGCAAAUUAAUACAAUACACACUUUCAAUACAACUUUCCAUUAAAAUCCUAUAUUCCAUAAACUACAAUUUUCCAUAACUCAAUCCCAUUCACAAUACACAAAUUCUAUGCUAAACAUUAGUCCUAAAAUUCCCUUUUGAUUCUUCACAACAGCUUCACUUCAAUUUCACAAAGCUCAUGACAAAAAACUCCAAGCUAAGUUUCCACUUGCAAGCUUGUUCAACAGACCAAAUAGCAGGACUCCACAUACAUAAUAGUCCACACAUUGAACCUACAAACAUAUUUCCUACUGACUUUAACAGGGAAAAAUAAUGAAUCACUGCAUACAUGAUAGAAAAUUCAGCAGAUCAAUCCACCCUUCAAAAUUCAAAAUGCAACAGAGCACACAAUUGAAAUGACCUGCAUACUUUCACCAUGCACAUUUUUUACAUGGAGCACACCAAGUGAAGAUCCUGCAUAACGAUUACACCUGUAGAAAUUCAUUCAACAGAUCAUUUAAACUCACUAACAAAAUUCUGCAUAAUUCAGAAAACAAUGCACCCUGCACAAAUUGAAGACCACAAUAACUAACCAACAGAUGCAACAUAGAGAAUCCAAUUAAAACUAACUCAUUUUCACUCAUUCAAACUCUAAUAGAUUUUAUGCAUUUCUACCACAUCGAUGUGAAUUUCAGAUAAAUUCCAUUUCCAUUUCUAAUAUAAAUUUGAAGGACCUAAAAGCUAUAAAUACAUCUCACUCUUCACUCAUUCGAGGAUCACGAUUCAUUUUCACUCUUUUCAGAUUUUUGAGAUUCAAUCUUCAUCUCAGAAACUCUAUUCACCCUCACAUAGAGCUCUCAGAAUAAUCCAUUAAAGCUUCACAUCGAAGCUUCAAUAGAGUAGAGCAUAGCCUUCACUCAAUUCAAUCCCUCUCGAUUACCUUCCAUUACAUCCAUAUCUCAAUUGCAGAAGAAGUUUCAGCAGAAAAAGAGAAUCAAAGGAGGAAGAUAUGAUCAAGAAUUACCUGGUUCAAGUGAUUUCCCGUCGCAACUUCAUUUUCUGCAAUUCAAGUUCGUCGGAACAAAUAUUCAUUUCUGAGGUAAAUACUCUUCUUCUCCGUUUAUCACGAUCUUGUUACCACUGCAUAGACAAUACUUUAGGGGUCAUUAUCCCUAAGAUAUGAUCAUGAAUCUGUGAAUAUUCGUUGUUUAAUUUAUAUUUGAAAGACCUAGGGUUCGUCGUGAGUUCCUCUUCAGAUUGAGCUCUAGGUUGAGAUUCAAUCAAACUUUGUCUGAUUAGUAGCAUUAGCAUGUUGUCACGAUCCCAGUGAUGGUUUUAAUUUGUGCUUUGGUGUUCCACCGUCACCGGAGAUGACCUCCGGCAUGGUGGGUGAUGGUGUCUCGGUGACCUGAGUGUUGAAUUUACAGGUCAGAGGCUACGUGCGUGUUUUUUGGUUUCAAUUUAUUUGAAUUUUCAUUUACAUUUAAUGCUGAACUUCGCAUUGCCUUGUGUUUCGUUUUUAGGGUCAAUUAAUGUGGGCAUUGUGUUGUUUUACUGAAUGCACACCACAUUGCUUCUACGCCCCUGCUUCUUUAGGUGGGCCCUGGUUUGGGCCAUGCGCCUUCUUGGCUUAUUGCACCUCUGUUUGGUUUUAUUUUUGCAUUUUUAUUUCCAUUUUGAUCUUUAAUUUUUGUUUGCUAGUUUUUUUAAUAUUUGUUCAUAAAUUUGACAUGGGAAUUAAUUGAUAGAAUUAAACUAGUUUUGUUAACAUGAUUUAGUUAAUUAAGAUUUAUUGAUUUGAUUAAUUCUUGAUUAAUUGAAUAUGAAUAGAAAAAUAUUAAUUUAACCUAAUUUACAUGAUAGGUGUACAUUGUCAAUUGCAUGAUGAUUGUCUAUCAUAUUGUGAUUUAAUUCUUCCAUUUUUAGAAUUUUAAUUAUUGAUUUAGGUUUUAGUUGAUUAUGACUAAUCUUGUUCAUUUAGGUUUAAUUGUCUUUUAAUCAUUUGUUUCUCAUAUGUUGAUUUCUCUGAUCAAUUGCACCUUAACCAUUGCAUGCUCCCCUAGUUUAGGGUUUGUUUAGAAUUAGUUGAUAUAGUUUGACUGAUUGAUUCAGUAGAUUGUACAUAAUUCAACUGAUAUUUUCCCAUUAGUUGUGUUGAUAAAAGUGUACUUUGAUCAAUCAAAUCCUUUGCAAUGUGCUCAAUUCCCCAAGCAUGUUCAAGUGAUCAAAAGAUCCUUGAUCACUUGAUAGGGCAAGUCUCUUGUGUUCAAGUUAUACUAGAUCUCUAAAGCUCAAGACUUCAAACUCAAGUCCAAGCUCAAGACCUCAAGAUUCAAGAUCAAGAGUUUAAGACUUCAAUCAGUACAAGGCAUUCACAUUGCAGACAGAGUGGACUACUUUUCAAGCACAACAAAUAUGUAUCAACACUUGUCAAUCAUGAAUCAAGUUGUGUGCCAUGAGCCUUAAGCAAUAGAUAAGGGGUGAGAGGGAGAAUUUCUAUCCUCAUUCUGAAUAUCUUUGGGUACGGGAUGAAUGACCCAGUUGCUCAUUGUAUUCACCUAUAUUCAUAGGCUUUAGCAUAAUUUAAAUCAAAUGAUUUUCAAGUCUCUCUUAACAAGCAACACUACAUCAUCAACAUCAACAAUCAAAAUCUUCUUCAGCAACUUGUCAGUUAUGAUGAGGAUUAGACUACAUGAGCAUUAAGCAAUAGAGAAGGGGUGGAAAGGAGCAUUCAUAUCCUCAUUCUGAAUAUCUUUGGGUACGGGAUGAAUGACCCAAUUUCUCAUCGUAUUCACCUAUAUUCAUUGAUUUAGCAUAAUUUGAAUCAAAUGAUUGUCAAGUCUCUCUUCACAAGCAACAUUGCAUCAUCAAGAUCAACAGUCAGAAUCUUCUUUAGCAACUUGUCAGAUAUGAUGAGGAUUACACGACACGAGCCUUGAUCAAUAGAGAAAGGGUGAGAGGGAGCAUUCUUAUCCUCAUUCUGAAUAUCUUUGGGUACGGGACGAGUGACCUAGUUGCUCUACGUAUUCACCUAUAUUCAUAGACUUUAACAUAAUUUGAAUUAAAUGAUUGUAAAGUCUCUCUUCACAACCAACAUUGCAUCAUCAAGAUCAACAAUCAGAAUCUUCUUCAGCAACUUGUCAGUUAUGAUGAGGAUUACACGACACGAGUCUUAAGCAAUAGAGAAAGGGUGAGAGGGAGUAUUCAUAUCCUCAUUCUAAAUAUCUUUGGAUAUGGGACAAAUGACCUAGUUGCUCAUCGUAUUCACCUCUAUUCAUAGGCUUUAAUGUGAUUUGAAACCUGUAAUUGACAAGUUUUCUCCAUGCAACCACCUCAUUUAUUCAAUACAACAACAAGCAAUUUUGUUCCUCCAACUACUUUUGUGUCCUUUUCAGUUUAAACACUAUCUUCAAUCACCUUCGUUGGUUUAAACACCAUUGCAUUUCUUUCAGUUUAAACAUCAUCUUCAGUCACCUUCUUUAGGUUUAAUCAACAUUGCUUCAGUAUACACAACAUCUCUAAUUACCUUUUUCAGACUAUCCUUUCAGUUUAAAAAUAAUAUUCAACUAUGUUUGUUGGUUUAAACACCAUUGCAUUGCUUCAGUUUGAACAAAUGCGCUUGGUGUAAACACCAUUACCCUUGGUUUGGUUGAGCACCAUUACCAUUGUAUUGGUAUAAACCACUUUUCCGAUUUAGACACCGACCUUUCGGUUUAAACAUCGCUUUUUAUGUUUAAACACCAUUUCCUUGGUUUAAACGUAAUUUUUCAGGUUCAAACACCACCGUCCGUUUUAAACACCACAUUAUCAUCCACCUUUUGGUUUAAACACCAUAAUCAGGUUCAAACACCAAACCUUCGAUUUAGACACCACUUUUGGCCCAUCCUUUGGUUUAAACACCGUUUCCUUGGUUCAAAUACCACAUUAUCACACCUUUGGUUUAAACACUACAGUCAUGUUACCUUUUGGUUCAAACACCACAAAUCCAGUCACUAUCCGGUUUAGACACCACAUUAAUUCUUCCUUUGGUUCAAAAACCACAAACACAAAUUCUAUCCAGUCUCCUUUUCUUUGUCCGUCCUAGUUCCACGAACUACAAAGUUCUGACUUUCUCAUUGGAUGGUGAGAGUACGUAGGCACGAGGGUGCGAAUCCUUGGCGAACACCUUCACCUUCAUACUUUAUUCAUUUUGUCCCUUCUUUCAUCUUCCAUCUUUACUUCCACGAACUACGGAGUUCUGAAUUCCUUAUUAUACUAUAAGGAUACAUAGACAUGAGAGUCUUAAUCCUCACUGAGCACUUUAUCUAUUCCAUUAUUUUUUACCUUUAUUCUUUUGUGAGUAAUCUUUAGAUAGUAACACUCAUUUGAGCAUAGAACAAGCAAAACGGUUCUCGUUAAGUACAACGGAUGUGAGGGAUGCUAAUAUCUUCCUCUUGCAUAAUCGACUUCCUUAUCCUGUUUUUCUCUUCCCCUGGAUUUUAUCGAUAUUUUCUCUUUCCUUCGGGAAUAUAUAAAGUUCGAUGACAACUAUGUUGUAUAUUGGAGCGUGCGACGCACUCGAAUAUUUUUCGCGCAAUAUCAAACUUAUGUUGUUUAUUAUUGUCAUAUGUCAUGCCGGUAGCAAUAUCGCAUGAGAGAAUUUAAGGUACAGUAACAUGAUAUCCGUUAAUCAUGUCUUACCUUUAUUAUAUUAGCAAUUCUAUUUUACUCACUAUAGUAACAUGAUACUCUAUCAUAUAUUACCUUUAUAUAAAGUAUAUCAUACAUUAUUUUAAUAAAAUAAAAUAUAAUACAUUAUUAUUAUUUAUUUAAACAAUUAAGGUAACGGAAACUUUUAAUAUCACAUCCAGACAAUUUUGAUUCUAAUGAAUAUUUGAGCAAUUUUGAAUUCCGCGAGUUUAUGGGUGUUUGGGAGAAAUAAGUUAUUUUGAUUUUGCAAGGGUUGUCAAUUGAAUGCUUUAGAGUAUCUUGAAAUACUUUAGAGUCAUAUUUUUUAAUUUAUUUCGAGUGACUCUGACAUGUUUAGAGUUGUUAGAUUUGUUUUCGAAUUAUUUAGAGUUAGAUUUGAUGCGCUUUAUAUAAUAAUAAUAAUAAUAAUAAUAAUAAUAAUAAUAAUAAUAAUAAUAAUAAUAAUAAUUUAAUAUUAUUAAUUAUAAUAUUUUAGAGUUGAGUUGGAGAUAUUCAUCAUUUAGAAUUAUUUUAGAGUUGGAGAGAUUGUUAUAGAAUUGUUUAGAAUUUUCCUUGAGAACUCUCUUGAAUAAAAGUUAAAAAUUGUUAAUCUUUGAUGAAUUGAGAGUAUAAAAUAAAUUAAUUAUUACGUUGUUGGUAUAUUUUGAGCUUUUGUUGAAUUGAGGUGUAAGUUGGAGUUGUUGAGUAAUAACAUGAUUUUACUCUUAUUAUUUUUUAGUAAUAAUAUAAUUAUUAAAAUUUAAUUAUAUGAAUAUUUUGAGUUGAGUAAUUAAGAGGAAUUACAAUGUGGCCUUAUAUUAGAGAAAUUAUAGUUCAAAGAGUAACCUAUUUGAGUACGAGUUUUGAGAAUACUUUUGUUAUUGUUUUUGAGUUAUGUGAUUGUUGUUGUCAUGUUCAUGAAUUCAUGUAAAUUGGAGAAAGGUAGGAUUUCGGUCCCACGAGGUCCAGUGCUCAGAGAGAGCCAGUGACGAGGUCUUGUGCUCAGAGAGAGCCAGUGACGAGGUCCUUUUCUCAAAGAGAGCCAGUGACGAGGUCUAUUGCUCAGAGAGAGUCAAUGACAUUAUCCUUAUUCAAAGAGAACAUUUUCCAAAGAGGAAUUGGGGACGUGGAUAAUUCUAUAAAAUAACUCGGAUAUCCAAACUUUUGGUAUCACAUGUAUUUUUGAAGGAGGAGUACAUUGCAUUAAUACAUUGCAUUGUGAUAUGCUGUUGUUGUUUGUGUAUGAUUUUAUUAUGUAUAUGUAUGUUAUCCUUGCUGACUAAUACACCAAUAACUUUUGUAAAAUUAUUCUCAUCCCUUUUCUAUCAUUGUGUUGCUCGUUAUGCAUAAUUUGCAGAUACAGGUAGCGGGCAAUAGAUAUGAGUUAGAGAAUAACGCAUAUUGCCUUUUUUCUUUAUUUACAUUUUCGAGUUUCUUUUAGUUUCCUGGUGUCGCUCUGAUAUGUAACACUGUGACGAGAUUUAUUUUUGAAUUGUGUUUUGUUUUUCUAGGAUUGAUGGUACUAUUUUCCCUCAUGUUUGAGUAUUGAACCAUUUUGUUUGAAUUUAUCCAAUUAAACCUGUUUGAGAUUAUCCGCUACUUAUUUUUGAAUUUUUUUUUAGAAACAUGUUGGGUUAAAGAGAUGCGUGACACCCUUUGUGCUUAAAUAUGUUAUACUUUCAUGAUUUUAAUUAAAUAAGAGUCGGUGGGGAUAUAGGGUGUUACAAAAGCCGUUAGAGUUGCUGAGGUUGUCAAAGUUGUUGAAGUUUCUAGAGCUACUAAAGUUGCAAAAGCUAAUAAAUCUGCCGAAACUUCUAAAGUUUCCAAAGCUCCUAUUACUGCUGAAAUUGAAAUGAUUGCUAAGGAGUCAAGGUAUCUGACUAAGGAAGUUGAACAAGAAUAUUUUAAAACCUCUUCUCAUCAGAAUCCAUGUAAGUUUUCUAAUGCCGAGACCUUCACUAUUUCUGAAUCUAUAAUUGUUGAUAGCUCACCUGUUCUUGUUCCAAUCAUAACCACUAUCAAUCCAUCAAUUGAAUCUCUAACCCCAAAUGAUCUAGAAACCAUAUAAAUACUCUUAAAACAAUUGAACCAAAAAACAUCAUCACAACUGGACAUACUCUACAAAACAUAAUGCAACAAUAACUUACAUCUUCAUCAAAAUUCCCAUCUUCACGGGCACCACUCAUUCGACAUCCAACAAUACCCACCAACCAACCUGAAAUCAUAGAAGAAAAUGAAUCAAUCUAACAACAACCUCAAUAACCAAUUUCCUCUAAACACACCAUCUUUGAACAUUUAACCAUUUAUGAAGCCACACCCAUGAAUAUCUCACCCCCUCUAUUAAAUCAAAUUGAAAAAUCCAUUCAUGAUCCUAUUCUCCAGGGCUUAUCCCCAUCUAAGGAUUCCUCUAUUGAAAGAUAAUUUUUCUCUAAUAAGGAUCCAACAGUUGUUGAACUUUUAUCUUCCUCCUCUGAAACAUAAAUUAAUUCAGAAACAAGAAUUCUCAUCAUUAACCCUGAACAAACCUUUGUUGAACCUUCUUUUAGUGAAAUAUGGAAAAAUAUAGAAUAAAAAAAACUGAAAAUAUGAGCUUUAUGAGGCAGGUUAUCAAAUAUUGUAUUAAGCAUGCUGAAAGUAAUGCUUAAUGGGAUAUGUACAUUAAUUGGUAUAUCUUAUACUUCACCUUCCUCAAGAAUCUUUCUUAUGAAGUUGUUAUGGAAAAGUUUAUUCCCAGAUUCAGUAAAGUAACGACUCUGAUCCUAGAGAUAAAUAAGUAUGUGGAGGAGUCCUUAGCUAGAUCUAAGAUUUUGGCACUCCCGGCACCUGAACAAGUUCUACCUCAGAUUGGAGCUGUCAUUCCCUCAACUCAGUUCUUAGCAUUUCAACGAAAUGCUGAAGCAACUAUUGGAGUCACUAUUCCUGAACAUAACUUGAUUGUUCCUUCUAAUGUCAUACCAUUUUUUGGGAUUGAUCAGAACUUAGAUUCUCAGCAUGAAGUUGGAUCAACUUACGGGAUUGCAUCUUCUGAACCACAUACUUCUGAGGUUGUUAUUUUUGUAAUUCUGAAGACUAUGGAAGAAUUGAAGAAAGAGAAAGAACUGGUAAGGACUAGGCUAGAUCGUCAAGCAGAGACCAACAAUUAGAUUCAAAAUAUGAUGUCAACCAUCCUUUCUAUACUUCCACCCCAACCAUAAAACAUUAUUUUAAAAACUUUGUGUUAAAACAAUUAUGUGACUCUUUUCGUUUGUCAUCUUUUUCUUCAGUAUUUUAAAAAUAGUUUGGUUCUUUUUUUUUUAUGAUUCUUUUUUAUGACUCCAAAGAGGGAGAAGAGUAAAUGAUUUUGAUCGUUCUUACUCUGUUGAGAAUUAGAAAAAAGGGAGAUGAGUAAUGAUCUAAAGAGUAUGUUAACAUUAAAUUCCUAAGAGGUAAAAAAUAAUGACUCUGAAGAACUUAAUCUAACAUAUCUAAAGAAAGAUUAUCUAAACAAAUGAAUUUCAUUGAAUCAAAAUUCUAAGUCUUGUUCUCAUAGGGAGCUUGCAAAUCUCACUUGGUACUUUUAGAUGAAGAUUUUUGAUAGUCUAAAAUACACAUAGAAAGUUGUAAACCUUACUCUGAAUAUCUUAGCAUAUUUAUCUUAUUUGUGAUUUCAUUGAAACCAAAAUUAUUUUGGAUCUUAAACUCAGGGGGAGCUUGCAAACCUCACUCUGUAGAUUUAAGUCAAAGAAAUAACUUUAAAAAGUAUAAAAAUUAGGGGAAGCUUACAAACCUAACUCUGAUAUUUUAUAAACAUGAUUAUCAAAAAUAAAAAAAAAUCAUCAAAAUACAUUUGUUUAUCAUCAUAAAAAAGGGGAGAUUGUAAGUACAUGUUUGGUUUUACAUUUAUACCUUUAUGUUUUGAUGGUAACAAAGUAUAGAGAAUAAUUUUGUACUCUGACUAUGUGUCCUUAGUAUGCAGAUAAAAGAAAACAGAUUUUGACUCAAAAUAAGUCAAAUAUGAAUAUAGAUGAAGUCUGAAGAAAGUUGCUAAGCAGAUCAUUAAUUGAGGACACACUCUAAGCAAAAAAGAAAGAAAUACAUAAGUAUGUCUAAGGCAUGGUCAAGCUUCAGGAUUAUGAAAGUCAACUCUGAUGGUCACAGACUCUGAAGAAAAGACGAUCGUAAGAAAUCAAAUUUGAUGAAUGAAGGGUCAAGACAUUACAAGACUCUGAAGAGAUAUCCAAGUUUUAAUGUGAAGAAGAUGUCAAUAUGAAUUACAGUUAUAUGUUAAUCCAAAAGAGACUCUGAAGUCUGAACAUCUUCAGAAUCUAUAUCAUUGGUACUCUUGUAGAAGAUAUGAAGAUAUUAUCUACUACGGUUGUUACCAGUAAAACACUUCUAAAGAAGGCACCUCUGAUACAUUUUGUGUCUUCCUAACUGUAUCAAGUCCUCUCAUCUUGAUAGGUUAUGAACUCUGAAUCUGUUAUCAUGUUUUUCCAACAUUAUUCUGGAAUAUUUUAAUAGAAGAAGAGUUACUAUGCAGUGUGCUAAUCAAAUGUCAAAUCAAGAAAGUACUGCUUCAAACGGCUAGAAAAAGAUUUUUUUACCAACUCAAGAGUUUCUGUUGUACCUACCUACUCUACAACAACAAUGUUUCUCGAAGAAAGCUCCAAUCCUUAUCUAUCCAACUGAUAUAUUCUUCAUCCUCAAAGAUAACUUUCUCUAUCCAUUUAAAGAGGACUUGAAAUAUCAGAUACCAAUAAAGAGAGAUGGAAAAGAAAUAGGAUGAUUCCUAAAGUAGAAAGUACACCAGAAAUAAGUGAGAGAAAAGAAAGUGUUCUCAAACAAUAUAAAUACACUUAUAGUGGUCUUUGAUUAAUGGGUAGACACAAUAUGUGUUCUUAACUCAUAAACACACUGAGAAACACACUUCAAAGAUUUGGAGUUGCAUUAAGCAGAGACACCAAGAAUGUUUUCAUACAUCAAAGGAUUAACUGCAAAAGCACAUAAGAGAAUAACAUUUAUGCAAACGCAAGAAAGAAGUAGAUGUGAAGCACUUAGAAGCUCAUAAUUUCAUAUCUAGCUUAAGUGUACAUUCUGGUUGUAAAUUUGUGUAAUCUGCUUAACUAAGAAGCACACAUAUAAACACAAAACUGUUAUAACCCAGUCUGGUUAUGUUCCUCGAGCAACCAUGUUGGUUAGGCUUUUGAGAAGUCAGUGAUGGAUAGUCAUUAAGGGAUAAAUGCUUUUAAGCGACCAUGUAGGUUAGGUCUUGAGGAGUCAAUGACUGUUGGGGUUUCUCAUGUGACUGGAUAGGUCAGGCUCUUGAGGUAAUCAAUGACACAUUAUCAUUGCUUUGUAAUCAUGAUUUGAUUAUUGGAUUAAGUCAUUGUCUAAGGCAAAUCGCCUGAUGGAUGGAUUGGAGGCAAGCUAGUUAACAACAAACCAUGAUAAAAGUACUUGUGUGCAUAUGUUUAUUUUUAUCGUCGCUGCCUAAUUGAUUGGGUUGGAAAAAGUUUUUAAACUGGAAACCCAAUUCAAACCCCCAUUUUUUUGUUUCUUGCACCUUCAAUUAUCGUGUGUGGUAUUUCGUUGUAAUCAAAAUGCUUUUAUCUUAAACUGAUUAAAUAAUGAAAGAUCGUGAUUAUCUUCUGAUGGUUUUAACACCAUAAAAGAGUGGAGUAAGUUAAGCGAGGACCAACGCUGAACCAAUAUAUGUCUAUGUAUACUCUUCUUUCUUCCCGUAUCUCCUUUAAUUUUCUGCAUCUAUUAUUGUAGGUAAUUCGUUACUGCAUUAUUUGUAUGUCAUUUAGGUUAGAUAUUGCUUAUAGCGAUUUAAUGUGUAAGCUUAGAUCUGCGAUGCAUUAAACCUAUUGGAUCAUCAUAAAUCCAAUUAUGUUUUGAAUAAAAUUCUAUGUAAAUUUUUUUAAAUUGAUUUGUUUAAAGCGACUUUUGUUAUCUUGUAAUUGCUUCACAUUUGAAAGAAUCAUUCCUUUAGUGAUAUCUUGUAAUACUCUUUUGUGUCCCCCCACUCUAGAUCUUUUGUGUCCAUAUUCUCACCCAAUAUAGUAUAUAUAUUUUCUCUUAAGUUAUAAGUCUUCACAAAGGAGAUGAACUCCUUAAAUAAGCAUAAAAGUCUAGGUCCAAAAGCCCACUUGAGUUUUGUCAUGAGUUCGGAUGGAACUUCUAAAAAGUGCAUGAGAUCAAUCUUCAUUAUGUUGAUUGUAAAUGUUGAUUGAUCACAUUGAAUAAAUUUGAAUCUCUUGCUUAUAACAACCUCAAUCUUACUCCAUUUGAUUCAUAUAUUCCCAAAACACACAUAAUCAAUCAAAUCUUUUUUAUGAAGAUUGAAAUUCUUGAUUGAUACAACUCUUAAACAAAUUAGAACAUCAAAUGUAUUCUUGCUAAAAAAAAUAGAUUUUUUCAAAUCCAACCAUGUGCUAACACAUUUAAAUCUCUGAUAUAAAAGAAAAGAAAAAAAUAUUGAAAGGAAGAGAUGUACUUCAAUUUAUCUUACCCUUUAAGCAAACAUCUCGUGACAUGUUAAGAAAUGAUGUCUAGGACAUUAUGCUCAACAUCUUGCUUUUUGCGAAUAACAAAUUUUGAAUAUUCAUUAAACAAUUCCAACAUUGACUUUACUUGAUAUGAAUAAUAAUUAUAACCUUUUCAAGUAAGUGAUUUAGAACGCAAACUCUUCCAAAAACGGAACCACUCUUUAAAUCAUAUUUAUUAAAGAUUGGAUUUUUCUCAUUAAGUGGAAAUCCAAAAUCUAGUAAUUAAAAUAAAUCCAAUUAAACAUCUUCAUGAAAUAUUUGUUUAAUUAAAUCUUCAAUAAAUAUAUUUGCAUAUCAAUUUCAGCACAAUGUUGGAUAAAAUAAAUCUGAACCAAAUUUUCCUUCAAAGCAUGUUCAAAAAAAUAUUUUCUUCACUGUAAAUCCAAUCAAAUCUUUUUUAACCAAAUCCAAAUAUUUUAAUGAAAUCAUAUAUAAUUAAAUCUUUUUCAACCAUUAUGGGUUAUGAUUUAACAAAAUCUUUUUCAAAACUGAUUUGAUUUAUAAUUAUUCUUCUAAACGCAUUAUGGACACACUUUUGGAAGAAUUAAAACCGAAUCAAAUCUUGAAUAAAAUCUGAAGAGAAUCAGAACUAAAUUUGUGCAGCACGUGUGCCAAAAUAUCACACAACAUGUUCAAAAUAUCUUGCUCAAAAGUUGUCUACAAACAUUAUAGCAAUCAAAUAUUUCUUUCAAAGCAACUUCAUUAGAAUCUUAGACUAAACAAGCUUAAACCGAAUUAUGUAAUCACAUAUGGAAUCAAACACAAAACAAAAUGAGCCGAGAUGCUCUCAAAAACUUUCAAGACAUCUUGAUUUCCAUUUUACCUAUAAAAAUAAGUCAAUCCAAAUGUAAUAAUAUUAUAAUUUCUCAAAUGAAAAGAAACUCCAAUAAUUCUCGCAAGAGAAUUCAAUAACGAGAAAUUCAAAUAAUGGUCAAAUAAGGAGAAAUUCAAAUAGUUAUCCAAAAAAUACUUAUAAUUUCUCAACUCAAAUAAUGAGAAAUUCAAAUAAUUCUCUAAAGAAAAUUCAAUAAAAUACUCAAGACUCUUCAACAAGUAGAAAGAAAGGGGGAUAAGUAGGUGCUUCGAUGAUUCAAAAAACGCAAAGUAAUGAGAGUGAGGAAGGAAAUACUAAAAAGAAGUUUUCAGUUUGUUUUAAAAUGAAGUGUGUUCUUUACUUAAAUAAUGAAGUAAGAUAUGCAAGAUGUUUAAUCUAAGCAAAUGUUAGAUUAAAUAAUUUUUUCAAUUAACACACAAACACACAUAUUUUUCUAACAAUGCAGGACUUAAAUUUUUUUUUCAAAUUCAUCUCCAUAUUGAAAUAUUUACAUGUUCGAAUAAUAGUUAGAGUGUUGGGUUAUGAGGAGAGUACUUAUAUUGUGUCAAGAAUAAUCAUAUAAAUGUGAAACUUCAUAUCUUUCCUUGAAACCUUAAGAUUUUGUUUGUGAAUAUGGAAAUUUUUUUUCGAUAAAAGAGAAAAUCGUAUCUUUACUAUACAUUUUUUAUAAAACCUUUCCAAAAAUAAAAAAUUGCUCUAAAUGAUAGAAACACUUUGUUGUGUUUUAUGAAAUUCUUUACGAAACUCCAUAAACCACAAGAUAAUAUUCCUUAACACACUUUCUUCUUUCAUGAAAAGUUUAUGGAAGAUUUGAAUCAUCUUCUAAAUUAAGGAAGAUUAAUUUGUUCGAGAUAAAUAUUUUUAACAUAGAGCUACAAGAUAGAUAUCUCUUUAAACUUAUGUGCUUCUUAAAUGAAUGAACAAUGAAAAAGGUUUAGAAAAUCAUUGCAUGAGGCUACGAUGAUUAACCUUUUUGGAAAUUUAAUUAGUUACUUUGUGAUGAUGGAUAAACUUAAGGCAAUUUAGACUUUUUGGUGGUCUUGAUAUAGUCAAUAUAACACUGAACAAUACAUGGUGAAGGUUUUGGAGAGGGACCUUGGACGUUCUUUGAUCAUUACUUAGUAUAUUUUGAAUGGUGGAUAGACUUGGAUCCAAUGUUAGAUAAUAUAGAUUAUGUAGCAAUUCUUGAAUUAUAGAAUUAUUUAAAUUAUUAUGUUUUGCGUAUUUAUUUAAUUGUGAGUGGUUAAUUAAAUAUAGGAGUGAGAUGUGUACCAUUAAAUUAAGGGUAUAUAGAUAGUUGUAGGUGAUGAGUAAAAAUGGGCCAUAAUUACUAAUAAUUAUUUUAGUAAUAAUAAUUUACUAGAUUUAGUUAAUUUAAAGGAAAAUAGAGCUUUGGGAAUGAAAGUGAGAAUUGAGGAAAAAUUAAUGGGAGGAAAAAGAGAGGUUUAAUUGAGGAAAAAUUAAUCAAAUAGAGCUUGUAUGAUGAAAAUUGUUUGUAAUAAUUGAUGAAUUUGGCAAUUAUUCUUAACUGAUUUUUCUGUUUUGAUACUUGAUGUGUUUCCACCAUGUUGCACUGUCGAAGCUUUUGCAAAUAAAUUAUUUUCAUGAAAAUAAUGUAUUUUAUGUGUUAAAUUGAAUUUUAAUUAUGGGAUAAUCGUAGUAUGUCCAAUUCUGAGCGUCAGGCUUUUUACGGAAUCAAAAUCGGAGUUUCGGAGGUCCUCAAAUGGUGAAAACCACAUUCUAGUUUUUGCAGGUCUGUACGCUGUUGCUUAGUGAAGAAGGUCCUCGUGUAGCUGAUGACGACCCCUCAUUGCAUAUAUUUAAUCGAAGAAUCGGAGCAAAAAAAGUGAAAUUCGAGCAAAUAUGAGAAGGAAUGACCAAAGAAUGAGGGAAAAUAGCUAAGUGUGCAAAUUGUGGACUUAGUGAAAACUUUGAGUAAAAAAGGAGCAAAAAAGAGUGAAGCUUCAGAAAUAAUCACAUCCACCAUCACGUAGCAUCACGCACGCGAUAGGACAUUAAAAUUUGCAUCGCAUGUGGGAUGGUCACUUUUUUGGGUCUUUUUCUGAUGCGUUCUGGUCCAUUUUGACACCUUUAAGAGAGGAAAUUAUGCAUUUUCACAUGAGUUACAAAAAUUGGCACUAGGAGCAUGAUUUUACAGCAUUAAGGGUGAUUUUGAGAGUAUUGUAAGCCAUUGGAGGUAAAUCCUUCAAGGGAACUCAUAUGAUAUUCUUCUUUAUUCAAUUGGUAUUUUAAUUUUGACUAUGAGUAAUUAAGCUUCUCUAGGUUAUGUCGUGUGAUGAUGAACCUUAUUCAAUCUUGUUGGCAUUAUAUGUUGGUUUGACUUUAUAUGAAUCCUUUGAAUUAUAAUCUUAUCCAUUUGUUUCUUAAUCUUAAUGUGUUUUAUUUGAGAUACUCUAUUAAUCUGAUAUUAGAAACAUAUGGAUUACUGACCUUUAGCCUAUGUGUUGGACCUAGGGCAACUGUUCUACUUACGCUGGUUGAAUAGGGAUAUGACACCCCGAGUAGUGGCCUAGGGAAUUAACAUUCUGCAUAUCGCCUAACACUGCUUAUGCUGGUGGACUAGGAAUAGAAAGCUCUGAGUAGUGGUUAAUGAGUUAUUUCGUGAGGGAUCGUCUGUAACAGUUUUGUUAGUUCGCCGUGAGAUUAUAAGGACUAGACCAUUCAUAUAAGGAAUCAUACAUCAACAAGAGAGGAUAAGGGAAUUCUAAUACACAAUCUAACUGUCUUAAUACUUCUGUUUUAAACUCGUAAUUUAUUUUUCGUUCUAAAACCUGACCCCCCCCCCCCCCCCCUCAUUUACUAUUUUUCCUUUAUAUUGCAUAAUUGUUGGCUUGUUCGAACACAAUCUUUGUAGAUUCGAUGUUUUAGUAUUGCGACACCAUCGGUACACUUGCCGAGAAGUCAUCAAGUUUUUGGCGCCGUUGCUGGGGACUAUUGAUAUUUCAACAAGGCGAAGUUUGUGCAUCAUUUAGUUUUUAUUAUUUUUAUUUUUAUUUUUGUUUUAAAUUGUAAAUAUUUUAUUUUUGUUACUUCAUAAUUUUUUAUUUUCUAUUUAUUUCUCAUUUUAGUUUUAUUUUUGUUUAAUUUUUUCAUCUAGUGCAAUGCUAGUAAUAUAUUUUUCUUUUUGUUUUGUAUGCAAGGUCAAGACAAUCAUGCAAGAUGACAUUUAUGCUACGUUUGCAAAAUUUGAAGCUUUUACAAAGGAACUUGCAGCAAAAUCGCUCAUUUUGGAAAAUGCUAGAAAUUAUUCAGAAAAAGAAUCUUACAUCAACAUUGGUCAUUCAUAGGAAGAGGAUGCAUCAUCUCAACUUGAAGAAACCUUGACCCAGGUUAUAAAGAUGACUCAACUCAGUUUCGAGAAAAUCAACAGGCAUCAAGAAACCGUGCUAAGUAACAUGGAAACAUCCUUCGAGAAGUUAAAGAUGCAACUUGGUCAAAUAUCUAGCCAAUUAGCAUUAAAACUGAGAUCUAAUGGGGAUUUCUAAUAUAAUAUGUUAGAUAGUCCUAGAGAUACAAAAAUUGAAAGAGAAGUCAAACAGGAAUGUGAGGUGGUCGAUGAAGGAUGGAUUAAAAAAUAAAAAUAAUAAGAAAAGUGUACAACACCGGAUAAAGAGAUAGAACCAAGAAUAGAAGAAGCGGAGGUGAAAAUUAUAUGUGGGAAAAGAACAAGAAUGCAAUAUGAAGAUUAUAUAGUUUUGGAUGAAGCUCCAAAUUGAAUAAAUCAUUUAGACGUAGAUCUCCAACUACAAGAUCUUUAACAAAAUAAUAGUCCUACAUCUAGCAAUAAGGAAUUUGCUUUACUAUUAUAUAGUUUAGACGUAGGAUUAUAUAGUUUGCAUAAUUUACUUUAUUUUUAUUCAAAAUCAACCACAAGAGGAAUUUGCUACUCAAGAGAAUCUAUAUUGUCUUUAAUAAACAAGUUUGUAGCUAUUUUGUUUCUUCCAUAUUGUAAGUUUAACACUUUAGCAUUGAACAGAUGAUCCAAAAUAAACUUGAUCAUCACCAUAGAAACUAGCAACUUGAAGGCGGAGGAUGGGAAAAGAAUCAACGGACUUGUACUCAACCUACAUAUACCUCAUCUGGUAAGGUGUGAGCCAAAUAUUUCCAUUGUUCAUUUUUUAUCUUUAUGAGUGUAUUCAUGCAUUAUUCUUUUAUCUGGUUUGACUUAUUUUCGAUUAAGUUAUCAAGUUUGAUCAACACACACUGAGACAAUAUUUUUUUAUAAUUUUGAGCCUUUGCGACCCACCCAUUAGUAGUAAGAUUAUCCUUUGCUAAACACUUUGAGCCUAAGCCUAUCUUUCGGUGACAUAACCUUAAAUUCUUAGCCAUAUUACUUGAACGAUCUUUUCUUUCCACCCUCUCUUUGGAGUUAGGUAGAAAUAUUGUUCUUAGAGUUUAUGAAAAAGAUUAAGUUUGGGGUUGCUCUUGGAAGUGAGUAACUUUUUAAGUCUGGGGUUUGGGUACUAGAGAAUAUGACCCAAAAUUUAAUAAAACUGUUGUGAAAAAGAAGUGGAAAAAGUCACUUCUUCAAAAAAAGUUAAUGAGAAAAGAAAAAGAAUGACAUUGUAAGAAGGAUCACAAAUCUCUAGUACUAACAAAAAGGUAUGAUGAACGAAGGAGAACUAGGAACCUAACUCCAAAGGUUUAACUCGACUUUGCUAAAUAUAUCCUACCUACCAUAAGCCAAGUUACAACCUGAAAAGCCCUCUAAUGUAUGUGUUGUGAUCUUUUUGAUGAACUUUUUUAGAACGUAAUCAAUCUAAGUUUAAUUGAUUUUGCAUGUUGAUUGAGUGAUCACCCUAUCCAUUGAGUGAGUUAUAGUAGGAUGAGAGGCAAGUUGAGUAUUCGUCAAUGUUGAGGAUAUUUUUCGAAUUCGUCGGAUAGAAGUUGGAAGCUAGAACAUGGUCAGGUAAAAUAAAAUAUUAAUUUGGUGAUGUUUGAUAAUUAUUGUGCGACUUGUUGUCUGUUGAAAUGUGCAGUUACAUAUGAGUUACUUGAGGACAAACAAUGAUUCCAGUUUGGAGUUGUGAUGACAGUUGGUCAUUGCAUAUAUAUAGUCGAAGAAUCAGAGCAAAAUAAUUGAAAGACGAGCAAAUAUGAGAAGGAAUGACCAAAGAAUGGGAGAAAAAUAGAUAAGUGUGCAAAUUGUAGACUUAGUGAAAAUUUGAGUGAAAAAGGAGCAAAAAAGAAUGAAGCUUAGGAAAUAAUCACAUCCACCAUCAUGCACGCGAUAAGGCAUUAAAAGAUGAAACAAACGAUGGUCACUUUUCUGGGCUUUUUCUGACGCGUUCUGGUCAAUUCUGACACCUUUAAGAGGGGAAAUUCUGCACUUUCACAAGGGUUACAAAAUUUGGCCCUGGGAGCAUAAUUUUACAACAUCAAAGGGUGAUUUUGAGAGCAUUGGAAGCCAUUGGAGGCCAAUCCUUAAAGGGAAGUCAUAUGAUAUUAUUCUUUGUUCAAUUGGUAUUUUAAUUUUGACUAUGAGUAGCUAAGAUUUUCUAGGUUAGGUUGUGUGAUGAUGAACCUUAUUCAAUCUUGUUGGUAUUAUAUGUUGGUUUGACUUUGUAUGAAUCCUUUGAAUUAUAAUCUUAUUCAAUUGUUUUUUAAUCUUAAUGAUUUUUAUUUGAGAUACUUUGUUAAUAUUAUAUUAGACACAUAUGGAUUACUGACCUAUAGCCUAUGUGUUGGACCUAUGACAACUGUUCUACUUACGCUGGUUGAAUAAGAAUAAGAGACCCCGUGUAGUGGCCUAGGGAAUUAUUAUUUUAUACAUCAUCUAACCUUGCUUAUGCUGGCGGACUAGGAAUAGAAAACUUCGAGUAGUGUUUAGUGAGUUAUUUCGUAAGGGAUCGAGUAUAACGAUUUUGUUAGCUCGCCGUGAGAUUAUAAGGAUUAGACAAUUCAUACAAGGCAUCAUACACCAACUAGAGAGGAUAAGGGGAUUCUAAUGAACAACCUAACCGUUUCUGUUUUAAACUCGUAAUUUAAUUUCCGUUCUAGAACCUGAACCCCCCCCCCCCCUAUUUAUUGUUUUUUUCCUUUAUAUUGUAUAAUUGUUGGCUUGUUCGAACACAAUACCUGUAGAUUCGAUAUUUUAUUACUGCGACACUAUCAAUACACUUACCGAGAAGUUAUCAAGUUUUUGGCACCGUUGUUGGGGAGUAUUGAUAUUUCAAAAAGGCGACGCUUGUGCAUCGUUUAGUUCUUUUUUUGUUUUAAAUUGUAAAUAUUCUUUUUUUGUUACUUCUUUAUUUUUUAUUUGCUAUUUAUUUCUCUUUUUAGUUUUAUUUUUAUUUAAUUUUUUUUUAUCUAUUGCGGUGCUACUAAGGUAUUCUUCUUUUUGUUUUGUAUGCAAGGUCAAGACAAUCAUGCAAGAUGACAUCUAUUCUACGUUUGCAAAAUUUGAAGCUUUUACAAAGGAACUUGCAGCAAAAUCACUCAUUCUGGAAAAUGCUAGAUAUUAUUCAAAACUAGAAUCUUUAUCAACACUGGUCAUUCAUAGGAAGAGGAUGCAUCAUCUCAACUUGAAUAAACCUUGACUCAGGUUAUAAAGAUGACUCAACUCAGUUUCGAGAAAAUCAACAGGCAUCAAGAAACCAUGCUAAGUAACAUGGGAACAUCCUUCGAGAAGUUAGAGACGCAACUUGGUCAAAUUUCCAACCAAUUAGUAUUAAAACUGAGAUCUAGUGGGGAUUUCUAUUAAAAUAUGUUAGAUAGUCCUAGAGAUGCAAAAAUUGAAAGAGAAGUCAAACAAGAAUGUGAGGUGGUCGAUGAAGGAGGAAUUGAAAAAGAAAAAGAAAAAGAAAAGUGCAGAACACCUGAUAAAGAGAUAGAAGCCAGAAUAGAAGAAGCGGAGGUGAAAAUUAUAAGUGGGAAAAGAACAAGAAUGAAAUAUGAAGAUUAUAUAGUUUUAGAUAAAGCUCCAAAUUCAAUAAUUCAUUUAGACGUAGAUGUCUAACUACAAGUUCUUCAACAAAAGAAUAGUCCUACACCUAGCAACAAGAUUGGUAAAAGAGGAGAAAUAUAUGACGUAUUGGAUGAGAUUUAUGCCUUGUUCAAUACUAUAAAGUUGAAGAGAAUAUGAAAGAAAAAUCUUCAAUUCCUGAAAAUGAUGGAAUUCCUACCAAACAAAAGGAAAAAGAAGGAUGAUGUUUUUUUCUUGUCAUGUAUGUCACCCUAACAGAAAAAUUGAAAGGUCAAUCUUAGUACCUUAAAGAAGCGCUUAAUGGGAGGUAACCCAUCAUUUUUUUAUCAUAUUUUAUGUGUGUGAAAAAUUUACUUUACUUUUAUUCAAAACCAAUCACAAGAGAAAUUUGUUACUCAAGCGUAAACCUUCCAAGAAGAUCUAUAUUGUCUUUAAUAAACAAGUUUGUAUCUGUUUUAUUUAUUUCAUAUUGCAAGUUUAGCACUUUAGCAUUGCACAUAUGAUCCAAAAGAAACUUGAUCAUCACCAUAGCAACUAGUAAGUUGAAGGUGAAUGAUGAGAAAAGAAUCAACAGACUUGAAAUCAACCUACAUAUACCUCAUCUAGUAAGGUUUGAGCCAAAUGUUUCCAUUAUUCACUUAUCUUUAUUUAUGAGUGUAUCCAUGCAUUAUUCUUUUAUCUCGUUUGAUUUACUUCCAAUUAAGUUAUCAAGUUUGAUCAACACGCACUAAGGCAAUUUUUUUUAUAACUUUAAGACUUUGUAAACCACUCUUUAGCAAUAAUAUUAUCCUUUGCUAAACACUUUGAGCCUAAGUCUUUAUUUCGGUGAUGUAGCCUUAAAUUAUUAUCCAUAUUACUUGAAAGAUCUUUUAUUUCCACCAUCUCUUUUGAGUUAGGUAGAAAUAUUGUUCUUAAAGUUUAUGAAAAAGAUUAAGUUCAGGGUUGCACUUGGAGUUGAGCAACAUUUUAAGUUUGGGGUUGGGUCCUAGGGAAUAUGACCCAAAAUUUAAUAAAAUUAUUGUGAAAAGAAGUGGAAAAAGUCACUUCUUCAAAUAAAGAAAUAAUGAAUGAGAAAAGAAAAAGAAUGGCAUUGUAAGAAGGAUCAUAAAUCUCUAGUACUAAUAAAAAGGUAUGAUGAAUGAAGGAGAACUAGAAAUCUAACUCCAAAGGUUUAACCCGACUUUCCUAAAUAUAUCCUACCCUACCAUAAGCCAAGUUACAACCUGAAAAGCCCUCUAAUGUAUAUGUUGUGAUCUCUUUGAUGAACUUUUUUAGAACGUAAUCAAGCUAAGUUUAAUUGAUUUUGCAUAUUGAUUUAGUGAUCACCCUAUCCAUUGAGUGAGUUAUAGUAGGAUGAGAGGCAAGUUAAGUAUUCGUCAAUGUUUAGGACAUUUUUCGAAUUCGCCGAAUAGAAAUUGUAAGCUAGAACAUGGUCGGGUAAAAGAAAAUUUCAAUUUGGUGAAGUUCGAUUAUUCUUGUGCGACUUGUUGUCUAUUGAAAUGUGCAAUUACAAAUGAGUUACUUGAGGACAAGCAACGAUUCAAGUUUAGAGUUUGAUGACAGUAUGUCGUUGCAUAUAUUUAGUUGAAGAAUCGGAGCAAAACAAGUGAAAGUCGAGAAAAUAUGAGAAGGAAUGACCAAAGAAUGGGAGAAAAAUAGAUAAGUGUGCAAAUUGUGGACUUAGUGAAAAUUUGAGUGAAAAAGGAGGAAAAAAGAGUGAAGCUUAGGAAAUAAUCACAUCCACCAUCACGUACACGAUAGGGCAUUAAAAGCUACAUCGCGCGUGAUACAGGGUAUCAUGCGUGCGAUGGUCGCUUUUCUAGGCCUUUUUCUGACGCGUUUUGGUCCAUUUUUACACCUUUAAGAGGGGAAAUUAUGCACUUUCACAAGGGUUACAAAAUUUGGCACUAGGAGCGUGAUUGUUCAGUAUCAAAGGGUGAUUUUGAGAGCAUUGGAAGCCAUUGGAGGCUAAUCCUUCAAGGGAACUCAUAUGAUAUUCUUCUUCAUUCAAUUGGUACUGUAAUUUUGACUAUGAGUAACUAAACUUCUCUAGGUUAGGUUGUGUGAUGAUGAACCUUAUUGAAUCUUAGUGGCAUUAUAUGUUGUUUGACUUUUUAUGAAUCCUUUGAAUUAAAAUCUUAUUCAGUUGUUUCUUAAUCUUAAUGCUUUUUAUUUGAGAUACUCUGUUAAUCUGGUAUUAGACACAUAGGGAUUACUGACCCUUAGCCUAUUGUCAUACCCCAAUUUUGUCCGGGAAUUUUAAAUUUUCAUAAAUUUGAUUUAAUUUUCAGUUUACAUCAUAUGUACAGCAUAACAUGCAUUUUAUCAUUAAUAAUACCUAAAAUAUCAGUCAGGAUAAAUUUAUUGAAAAUACGGACAAAUCGGUUGAAUCUUUUCUCAAUAACGUGCAAGAAUCAACGGGUAAAAAGUUUCAAAUUUAAAAUUGCAGACGCCAGUAUUAUUAACCUACGGUUCAUGUAGUUUAAACUGGUGUGUCCGUUAUAUUUUUCAGCGAUUAUUUCAGUUGCAUUCUGACCCGCCUGAGCCUUUUAACCGGUGAAAAUUUAUUUCAGCAUUUGAAGAAACGUUGUAUUUUUUCAAUAAGUAUAUUUUGUACUGAUCAUUUUAAUGUGUCUGAUUUAAUAUUUCGAGCAAAUUUUCGUCCGACUUCUAUUUAUAAUCGGUCCUUUUAUUUUGUUCUAGGAUUCAAAAUUAGAGAUUUAUCUUAUUAUUAUAUUUUUCUAAAUUAAAUUAUUAUCUAAUAAUAAUUUUUUUUAAAUAAUAUAUAAUAAGAAUUAUUAAUAAAAAAGGAAAAGGAAAAUAAAAUGAGUAUAGUUCACGUUUCCUCUCUCCCUCACGUUUCCUCUUAACCACAUCCACACUCUACAUCACCUUUCCACGUUACCCCCCUCUCUCUGUACACCCCCCUCUCUCUGUACAUUAAAAAGAAACGAAAAAGAAAACAAAGAAAAGGGCACAGGCUACCUCCUCAAAAAAACACCUCACAUUCUUUAACGACUCUCACCCUCUCAAAAGACACUCCCUGCUAAGUUCCUUCCCACUUUCAACUCAACCCCCAAAAUCUGCUUCUCAUCCCCACCAUCGCUACCACUUACCGCCGCGUUUAAGCGUCAUACCACACUCGCCGAUCCGUCGCUGCAAACGAAUCCUCAACUACCAGGCGAUCCACUCACCAUCACCGUUCCAUCACCGAAGGAACACCACAAACCCGUCCACAUCCGCCGUCCACCGCCACAAAAACCUCACUGCAGAAUGGCCAGAUUCCUCCACUACGUCGCCGCACUAAAUCCACCUCUCGCUAACCCUCAAGUUUCCGACAGUUUUCUUCAACUCCACCUAUAACAACCAAUAACCUUCCGCCGACACCUCCGGUAAUGCCACUCCCCAGCCGCCGUGACGUUGAACUUUUCCCAAUCUUCACAUAGCCUCAAUACUGCUCAUCGCCAACACAAUAACGAUUAGUGAUUUGUUUUGUCUACGAGUCUAUUCAGAUCUUAUUCGAUUUCGGAACCACUGUAAAACAACAGGCUACCAGGAGGCAUCAAAGGAAAAUUUUGAAUCCCUUCAGCAGUAAUUACGGUAGCCGGCUCGUUGUCGGUAACCCUUUCAUUUUGAGUGUAAGCUUUAAUUUAUUGAACUGCACUAAUCUGAUAUUGCAUCGUGUAUUAGAUAAUCUCUGCGUUGAUAAUCAUACCUUUGUUGUGUUUAUUACUUACUCUGUGGAAAUACCAUGAUAAUAAUCUUUGAUUUUGCAUUGUUGUGUACAGUGUGAGAUUGAGUUUUAAGAUUCAGGACAUUUCAUUUAUGGAGUAUAUAAGGAAAGUUGCAUCAAUUCUGGAAUAAUACAAACAGUUUGGUAUUGGUUUGUCGUGUUUCGAUCACGUAUGAAUCGGGAGGUAUUAUCAACAUUGUUGGACUGAAAUUUAAGGGAGCUGUUUGGAUAUAAACCGUUAUAGGACCAAAGUGUCGAUACGUAUGUUUUAAUAUUGCAUUUGCCGGUUAUGGAUCGGGAUCCAAAUGCAUUUUAUUUGUGUUUAGUUUAAAGGCUGCAUUUUUUUUACACUGAUGCGUUCAUGAAUACAUGCAUAUGAGGUUGCCGGUGUUUAUCAGUGUUUGGUUUAAUUUUUUUUUACACAGUAUAUUGUUAUUAACUCAUGAGCAUUGUGGGAAGUGAGUUGCCUCUUAGUCAAGUGUGGCGGAUUCAUUUUCUUUCAUUUAAACAUUGAUAUCAUUAGUGUUAAUUGUCACUUUAUUUCUAUUAAUUAUCCUAGCAUUGCUUGUUCUAAUUGAUAUGGAUUUGUUCACAGUAGUAUAUAUUCAUCUUGUCCACUGCAUGUUUGGUUUUGACUAUCAAAAGUUAAAUUAUAUUAUUA